RNAcentral lists this ribosomal RNA (787 nucleotides) under uncultured bacterium. RNAcentral describes it as "bacterial SSU rRNA". It matches the Rfam family "Bacterial small subunit ribosomal RNA", at positions 8 to 803 of the family's 1533-position model. The record is from RNAcentral.
AGAGUUGUAUCCUGGCUCAGGACGAACGCUGGCGGUGCGCCUUAUGCAUGCAAGUCGAGCGAAGCUUUUCAGUAGUUUACUACAGAAAAUGACUGAGCGGCGAACGGGUGAGUAACGCGUGAGCAAUCUACCUUAGUUACAGGGAUAGCCCGAGGAAACUCGGAUUAAUACCUGAUAUUCUUUAUUUCUCGCAUGAGAAUAAAAGGAAAGGUCAGCCGAACUAAGAUGAGCUCGCGUUCUAUCAGCUAGUUGGUGAGGUAAAAGCUCACCAAGGCUACGACGGAUAGCUGGUCUGAGAGGACGAUCAGCCACACUGGGACUGAGACACGGCCCAGACUCCUACGGGAGGCUGCAGCAGGGAAUAUUGCGCAAUGAGCGAAAGCUUGACGCAGCGACACCGCGUGUGGGAUGACGGAUCUAGGUUUGUAAACCACUUUCAGGAGGGAAGAAAAUGACGGUACCUCCACAAGAAGCCCCGGCCAACUACGUGCCAGCAGCCGCGGUAAUACGUAGGGGGCGAGCGUUGUCCGGAUUUAUUGGGCGUAAAGAGCUCGUAGGCGGUUCAACAAGUCGGUCGUGAAAGUUCAGGGCUCAACCCUGAAAUGUCGAUCGAUACUGUUGUGACUAGGAUACGGUAGAGGUGAGUGGAAUUCCGAGUGUAGCGGUGAAAUGCGUAGAUAUUCGGAGGAACACCAAUUGCGAAGGCAGCUCACUGGGCCGCUAUCGACGCUGAGGAGCGAAAGCUAGGGGAGCAAACAGGAUUAGAUACCCUGGUAGUCCUAGCUGU